UACAGAGGGUGCGAGCGUUAAUCGGAAUUACUGGGCGUAAAGCGCGCGUAGGCGGCUUUGCAAGUCGGGUGUGAAAUCCCCAGGCUUAACCUGGGAACUGCAUUCGAGACUGCAUUGCUAGAGUAUGGGAGAGGAAGGUGGAAUGCUUGGUGUAGAGGUGAAAUUCGUAGAUAUCAAGCAGAACACCUGCGGCGAAGGCGGCCUUCUGGACGAUGACUGACGCUGAGGCGCGAAAGCGUGGGGAGCGAACAGG
Molecule: ribosomal RNA, 253 nt
Filed under: uncultured bacterium
Lineage: Bacteria
Description: partial 16S ribosomal RNA
Rfam family: Bacterial small subunit ribosomal RNA
Source: RNAcentral